UGCCUUAUCAAAUCCGCAUUUAAUGACUAUAUUGGAUGUGUCUGCUUGCAGACUAUGGUGAUAAAUGGACUCCGUAAUAAGCCAGCUGGACCCGGGGGCAGUACCCGGCGCCUCCACCAGAACCCGUUUUAGUGCGUGCUACGCACAAGGGAAUACGGGUUGUGGCGGGGGCGAAACAGGAUCGACAGGGGUGUAAAAGUUGCUCUUUUGCCCGGCAUGAUACCACCGAUAUCGGGUCAAACUUGUAGUUGCAAAUGACAACUAUGCUCCGGAAGCUGUCGCAGCGUAAGCUGUGCUGGUAACCGAAAUAAAGCCCUGAGGGUUAGCCCCUUCAGGCGGGGCCCGGAGGCGCCUGGCAACAGAAGCCUCCACU
This 373-nucleotide transfer-messenger RNA is filed under the name Beijerinckiaceae bacterium. It matches the Rfam family "Alphaproteobacteria transfer-messenger RNA". From Rfam's summary of the family: Bacterial tmRNA, also known as 10Sa RNA or SsrA, is named for its dual tRNA and mRNA-like properties. Its role is to liberate the mRNA from a stalled ribosome. The record is from RNAcentral. Lineage: Bacteria; Pseudomonadati; Pseudomonadota; Alphaproteobacteria; Hyphomicrobiales; Beijerinckiaceae.